CUGGUGCCAGCAGCCGCGGUAAUUCAGNUCCAAUAGCGUAUAUUAAAGUUGUUGCAGUUAAAAAGCUCGUAGUUGAAUUUCGAGAUCGGCUUACUGGUCGUGCUUUUGUACGUACUGGUAUAAUCGGUUUCUCCUUUCUGACGAACUAUAAUGCCAUUCAUUUGGUGUUAUAGGGAAUCAGGACUGUUACUUUGAAAAAAUUAGAGUGUUUAAAGCAGGCUCACGCUUGAAUACAUUAGCAUGGAAUAACGGAAUAGGACGUUUGAUUCUAUUUUAGUUGGUUUCUAGGAUCGACGUAAUGAUUAAUAGGGAUAGUUGGGGGCAUUAGUAUUCAAUUGUCAGAGGUGAAAUUCUUGGAUUUAUUGAAGACUAACUACUGCGAAAGCAUUUGCCAAGGAUGUUUUCAUUAAUCAAGAACGAAAGUUAGGGGAUCGAAGACGAUCAGAUACCGUCGUAGUCUUAACCAUAAACUAUGCCGACUAGGGAUCGGAUGAUGUUAAUUUUUUUAAUGACUCAUUCGGCGCCUUACG
This 530-nucleotide ribosomal RNA is filed under the name uncultured Glomus. Its description in RNAcentral is "SSU rRNA". It matches the Rfam family "Eukaryotic small subunit ribosomal RNA", at positions 561 to 1092 of the family's 1831-position model. The record is from RNAcentral. Lineage: Eukaryota; Fungi; Glomeromycota; Glomeromycetes; Glomerales; Glomeraceae.